GAGAAAUUUCCUUCGGGAAACGAGUAGAGUGGCGCACGGGUGAGUAACGCGUAGGUAAUCUACCCUUAUGCCUGGGAUAACAUUGGGAAACUGGUGCUAAUACCGGAUAUCCUUCCUGACUGUGGGGUCAGGGAGGAAAGGUGGCCUCUUCAAGAAAGCUACCGCGUAGGGAUGAGCCUGCGUACCAUUAGCUAGUAGGCGGGGUAACGGCCCACCUAGGCAACGAUGGUUAGCGGGUCUGAGAGGAUGAUCCGCCACACUGGAACUGGAACACGGACCAGACUCCUACGGGAGGCAGCAGUGAGGAAUAUUGCGCAAUGGGGGAAACCCUGACGCAGCGACGCCGCGUGAGUGAGGAAGGUUUUCGGAUCGUAAAGCUCUGUCAGAAGGGAAGAAAUGCUGCAUGGUUAAUACCCAUGCAGUUUGACGGUACCUUCAGAGGAAGCACCGGCUAACUCCGUGCCAGCAGCCGCGGUAAUACGGAGGGUGCGAGCGUUGUUCGGAAUUACUGGGCGUAAAGGGCGCGCAGGCGGCCUGAUAAGUCAGAUGUGAAAGCCCACGGCUCAACCGUGGAAGUGCAUUUGAAACUGUCUGGCUUGAGUAUCGGAGGGGAGUGUGGAAUUCCCGGUGUAGAGGUGAAAUUCGUAGAGAUCGGGAGGAACACCGGUGGCGAAGGCGACACUCUGGACGAAUACUGACGCUGAGGCGCGAAA
This 713-nucleotide ribosomal RNA is filed under the name uncultured delta proteobacterium. RNAcentral's name for it is "bacterial SSU rRNA". It matches the Rfam family "Bacterial small subunit ribosomal RNA", at positions 68 to 758 of the family's 1533-position model. The record is from RNAcentral. Lineage: Bacteria; Deltaproteobacteria.